AAAAACUUACAAUAUGACAUAAAAAUUAGAGCCUUCAAGCCCUUAACAAGAAUUAUGGACCUCUUAAUCUUUA
This 73-nucleotide transfer RNA is filed under the name Callopanchax occidentalis (golden pheasant panchax). RNAcentral describes it as "tRNA-Trp". The record is from RNAcentral. Lineage: Eukaryota; Metazoa; Chordata; Actinopteri; Cyprinodontiformes; Nothobranchiidae.